AAAGUCGUAACAAGGUUUCCGUAGGUGAACCUGCGGAAGGAUCAUUACAAAUCCUGUCUUUUCAGACAUGUUGAAAUGUUGAAGAGUGUGUGGGGAAAUACAGAGGGUAGAGGAGAGGCGGUAAGGAAGGUGAAAUAUCACUUUUCUCUCUUCUCUCUUCUCUCUUUCUAUUCUCUCCCUCUUCUACUUAUUUACUAUCUAUCAUUGUUGAUCAAAUGGACAUUAUUUAACAUAUAUUACACAACUUAUAACAAUGGAUCUCUAGGCUCUU
This 271-nucleotide unclassified non-coding RNA is filed under the name Basidiomycota sp. RNAcentral's name for it is "partial contains small subunit ribosomal RNA, internal transcribed spacer 1, and 5.8S ribosomal RNA". The stretch from base 1 to 47 matches the Rfam family "Eukaryotic small subunit ribosomal RNA", at positions 1785 to 1831 of the family's 1831-position model. The record is from RNAcentral. Lineage: Eukaryota; Fungi; Basidiomycota.